RNAcentral lists this ribosomal RNA (254 nucleotides) under uncultured bacterium. RNAcentral describes it as "partial 16S ribosomal RNA". It matches the Rfam family "Bacterial small subunit ribosomal RNA", at positions 524 to 776 of the family's 1533-position model. The record is from RNAcentral.
UACAGAGGUCCCAAGCGUUUGUUCGGAUUCACUGGGCGUAAAGGGUGCGUAGGCGGUCGGGUAAGUCUGAUGUGAAAUCUCACAGCUUAACUGUGAAACUGCAUUGGAUACUAUUCGGCUAGAGAGUUGGAGGGGGGACUGGAAUUCUCGGUGUAGCAGUGAAAUGCGUAGAUAUCGAGAGGAACACCAGUGGCGAAGGCGAGUCCCUGGACAACUUCUGACGCUGAGGCACGAAAGCUAGGGGAGCAAACAGG